RNAcentral lists this ribosomal RNA (331 nucleotides) under Gammarus salemaai. RNAcentral's name for it is "partial 16S ribosomal RNA". It matches the Rfam family "Bacterial large subunit ribosomal RNA", at positions 1950 to 2531 of the family's 2925-position model. The record is from RNAcentral. Lineage: Eukaryota; Metazoa; Arthropoda; Malacostraca; Amphipoda; Gammaridae.
GCUAAGGUAGCAUAGUCAUUUGUUAUUUAAUUGGUAACUGGAAUGAAAGGUCAAACUAAUUUAUUAAGUUUGUAUAACUGGAUAGGAGACUAAAGUUAAGGUAAGAAUUCUUUAAUUUUCUAGGGGACGAUAAGACCCUAGAAGCUUGACAAACAUAGUGUCUGGGUUUGUUUUAGAGGUUAGUUUGUUUUACUGGGGCGGUAAAAGGAACUAAGCUGUUUAUUACUUAAAGGAUCCUUUAAAUAAAGAGAGAAUGGGGAAGUUACUCUAGGGAUAACAGUGCAAUAUUUUUGGAGAGAUCUUAUUGAUAAAUAUGUUUGCAACCUCGAUG